Long non-coding RNA from Amaranthus tricolor (Joseph's coat), 471 nucleotides. RefSeq lists it as uncharacterized. The transcript is spliced from 3 exons. Lineage: Eukaryota; Viridiplantae; Streptophyta; Magnoliopsida; Caryophyllales; Amaranthaceae. The record is from RefSeq and is a predicted model, not a curated record.
CGAGUAUAAAAACCGUGGAAACCCUAAUUACUCAAGCUUAGCCGUCACUCCCUCACUUCUCUCUCUUAAUUUCUUUCCCUCACUCACGGUUCAGCAGCUGCCCAUUUUCCUUCUCCCUUCUCCUCUGCGCUGCCUUCGCCUCCCUCCACAAGCAGCAGCCUCGCGUUCGCCUCCCUCCACAAGCAGCAGUCUCGCGUGUUCUCCUCCUCGCAAGCAGCAGCAAGGCUGCGUUUUUUCUUCUCCCCUUCUGCCGAAAAGGGCUGCCGCCACAACAGCCACGGUCCGGCCACGUGGAGCCCUUCACACCAUCUAGUCUUCACUCUUUUUUUAAUUACCCCAUUGUUCCCAAUUCAUAAGAGGAAAGUAGACCCUUAGUUGGGUGAUUUUUGUGGCUUGUCAUCUUGCAGUGCAGCAGGGACGUCGUAGAUAGGUCUUGCAGGUUUUGGAGUUUCCUUGCAUUGCAUAUGGGGG